This 315-nucleotide ribosomal RNA is filed under the name uncultured bacterium. RNAcentral describes it as "bacterial SSU rRNA". It matches the Rfam family "Bacterial small subunit ribosomal RNA", at positions 28 to 334 of the family's 1533-position model. The record is from RNAcentral.
GAUGAACGCUAGCGAUAGGCUUAACACAUGCAAGUCGAGGGGCAGCAUAUUCGAAGCCUGCUUUGAAUGAUGGCGACCGGCGCACGGGUGCGUAACGCGUAUGUAACCUGCCUGUCAGAAGGGGAUAACCCGGAGAAAUCCGGACUAAUACCGCAUACACUUAGUUAUCCGCAUGGAUGAUUAAGGAAAGAUUUAUUGCUAAGAGAUAGGCAUGCGUUCCAUUAGUUAGUUGGUGAGGUAACGGCUCACCAAGGCAUCGAUGGAUAGGGGAGCUGAGAGGCUUAUCCCCCACAUUGGGACUGAGACACGGCCCAA